AGAGUUUGAUCCUGGCUCAGGAUGAACGCUGGCGGCGUGCUUAACACAUGCAAGUCGAACGAACCUUCGGGUUAGUGGCGGACGGGUGAGUAACGCGUGGGAAUCUGCCCUCAGGAGGGGGAUAACGGCUGGAAACGGCCGCUAAUACCCCAUAUGCCGAGAGGUGAAAUGAAUUUCGCCUGAGGAUGAGCCCGCGUCUGAUUAGCUAGUUGGUGAGGUAAGAGCUCACCAAGGCAUCGAUCAGUAGCUGGUCUGAGAGGAUGAUCAGCCACACUGGGACUGAGACACGGCCCAGACUCCUACGGGAGGCAGCAGUGGGGAAUUUUCCGCAAUGGGCGAAAGCCUGACGGAGCAACGCCGCGUGAGGGAUGAAGGCCUCUGGGCUGUAAACCUCUUUUCUCAAGGAAGAAGAUCUGACGGUACUUGAGGAAUAAGCCACGGCUAAUUCCGUGCCAGCAGCCGCGGUAAUACGGGAGUGGCAAGCGUUAUCCGGAAUUAUUGGGCGUAAAGCGUCCGCAGGCGGCCCUUCAAGUCUGCUGUUAAAAAGUGGAGCUUAACUCCAUCAUGGCAGUGGAAACUGUUGGGCUUGAGUGUGGUAGGGGCAGAGGGAAUUCCCGGUGUAGCGGUGAAAUGCGUAGAUAUCGGGAAGAACACCAGUGGCGAAGGCGCUCUGCUGGGCCAUAACUGACGCUCAUGGACGAAAGCCAGGGGAGCGAAAGGGAUUAGAUACCCCUGUAGUCCUGGCCGUAAACGAUGAACACUAGGUGUCGGGGGAAUCGACCCCCUCGGUGUCGUAGCCAACGCGUUAAGUGUUCCGCCUGGGGAGUACGCACGCAAGUGUGAAACUCAAAGGAAUUGACGGGGGCCCGCACAAGCGGUGGAGUAUGUGGUUUAAUUCGAUGCAACGCGAAGAACCUUACCAGGGUUUGACAUCCUGCGAACCUCUUGGAAACGAGAGGGUGCCUUCGGGAGCGCAGUGACAGGUGGUGCAUGGCUGUCGUCAGCUCGUG
RNAcentral lists this ribosomal RNA (1010 nucleotides) under uncultured bacterium. RNAcentral describes it as "bacterial SSU rRNA". It matches the Rfam family "Bacterial small subunit ribosomal RNA", at positions 8 to 1064 of the family's 1533-position model. The record is from RNAcentral.